GAUGAACGCUGACAGAAUGCUUAACACAUGCAAGUCUACUUGAUUCUACUUCGGUAGUUGAUGGUGGCGGACGGGUGAGUAACGCGUAAAGAAUCUGCCCUUUAGUUUGGGAUAACCUUUGGAAACGAAGGCUAAUACCGGAUAUUAUGGAGACGUCGCAUGGCGACUCCAUGAAAGCUAUAUGCGCUAGAGGAGGACUUUGCGUCCCAUUAGUUAGUUGGUGAGGUAAUGGCUCACCAAGACCGCGAUGGGUAGCCGGCCUGAGAGGGUGAGCGGCCACAAGGGAACUAAGACACGGUCCUUACUCCUACGGGAGGCAGCAGUGGGGAAUAUUGGACAAUGGGCCACAAGACUGAUCCAGCAAUUCUGUGUGCACGUUGAAGGUCUUCGGAUUGUAAAGUGCUUUCAGUAGGGAAGAAAAAAAUGACGGUACCUACAGAAGAAGCGACGGCUAAAUAUGUGCCAGCCGCCGCAGUAA
Molecule: ribosomal RNA, 478 nt
Filed under: uncultured bacterium
Lineage: Bacteria
Description: partial 16S ribosomal RNA
Rfam family: Bacterial small subunit ribosomal RNA
Source: RNAcentral